GCCGGGAUGGCGGAAUUGGAAGACGCGCAGGACUCAGGAUCCUGUGGGGGUAAAACCCCGUGCGGGUUCGAGUCCCGCUCCCGGCACC
This 88-nucleotide transfer RNA is filed under the name bacterium HR19. RNAcentral's name for it is "tRNA-Leu". It matches the Rfam family "tRNA". Rfam says of the family: Transfer RNA (tRNA) molecules are approximately 80 nucleotides in length. Their secondary structure includes four short double-helical elements and three loops (D, anti-codon, and T loops). The record is from RNAcentral.